Long non-coding RNA from Daktulosphaira vitifoliae (grape phylloxera), 537 nucleotides. RefSeq lists it as uncharacterized. The transcript has 2 exons. The record is from RefSeq and is a predicted model, not a curated record. NCBI's taxonomy places the organism in Eukaryota, Metazoa, Arthropoda, Insecta, Hemiptera, Phylloxeridae.
CAUUUCCGUAUCAUUCAACAACCGUAAUUGUUUGCAAAAUUUUGUUGCAAUUUUGCGUCGCAUAAAAUCAGCUUCAAUUUCUUGUUUUGUUCGUGGAAUUCGGAAACGAACACAGCAACAUAAUAAUACCACUAAAAAUAACGAAAAAAAUACAGUCAAAAUGAAAAAAAUAAUGUGCCACACUCGAUAUCCAUUGUACAAUUGAAAUUCCAACCAUUCAUCAUCUACACUUAAUAUGUCCAAAGGAUCUGGUGUGGUAGUUGUUGUAAAAACAGGACUUGUUGGAAAUGGCUUUAAUUAAAAUUAUGUAACAAUGCAUGUUAUUAUAUUUGUAUAAUUAUUAUCUAUAUUUGAUUACUGUAUAUAUUGAUAUUUAUAUAUAUAUAAAUACAUAAAUAAUAAUUUAUGAUUAGUCUUAGGACUUGAAAUAGAAAAGUGAAGUAUAAAAGUUCAUUCAUAGUAUAAUCAUGAUGUUAAUAUUUAUAUAACUGUAAAUAAAAGUGUGCUCCAUAUUAGAUAUAAACGAUAAAUAAAUAA